Molecule: ribosomal RNA, 705 nt
Filed under: uncultured Acinetobacter sp.
Lineage: Bacteria; Pseudomonadati; Pseudomonadota; Gammaproteobacteria; Moraxellales; Moraxellaceae
Description: bacterial SSU rRNA
Rfam family: Bacterial small subunit ribosomal RNA
Source: RNAcentral
UGCAAGUCGAGCGGAGAGAGGUAGCUUGCUACUGAUCUUAGCGGCGGACGGGUGAGUAAUGCUUAGGAAUCUGCCUAUUAGUGGGGGACAACAUUUCGAAAGGAAUGCUAAUACCGCAUACGUCCUACGGGAGAAAGCAGGGGAUCUUCGGACCUUGCGCUAAUAGAUGAGCCUAAGUCGGAUUAGCUAGUUGGUGGGGUAAAGGCCUACCAAGGCGACGAUCUGUAGCGGGUCUGAGAGGAUGAUCCGCCACACUGGGACUGAGACACGGCCCAGACUCCUACGGGAGGCAGCAGUGGGGAAUAUUGGACAAUGGGCGGAAGCCUGAUCCAGCCAUGCCGCGUGUGUGAAGAAGGCCUUAUGGUUGUAAAGCACUUUAAGCGAGGAGGAGGCUACUUUAGUUAAUACCUAGAGAUAGUGGACGUUACUCGCAGAAUAAGCACCGGCUAACUCUGUGCCAGCAGCCGCGGUAAUACAGAGGGUGCAAGCGUUAAUCGGAUUUACUGGGCGUAAAGCGCGCGUAGGCGGCUAAUUAAGUCAAAUGUGAAAUCCCCGAGCUUAACUUGGGAAUUGCAUUCGAUACUGGUUAGCUAGAGUGUGGGAGAGGAUGGUAGAAUUCCAGGUGUAGCGGUGAAAUGCGUAGAGAUCUGGAGGAAUACCGAUGGCGAAGGCAGCCAUCUGGCCUAACACUGACGCUGAGGUGCG